UGGUUCCUGUGUGUGUGACAGGUUUGGGGCAGGAAACACUUUGGCUCUGUGGUAAAGAAAGGCCUUGAACUCUCAUUGAGAAGCAUGGAGCCGAUAUGAUUGGUGAACAACAAUUGUGUGCUGGCCCCAGGAUACUAAUCAGAACUUCUGCCUGACUCUCAAAGCACAAGGCUCAGUACCUGCAGAAGCCUUUUACCCAUCUAAUCCGGGCGUGGGGACAACAUGUCUGCACCUAGGAAGGCCACAGCAGAGUCUGGAAAAGAUAUGGAGGGAGAGGACUCUAAUUUGAAAGACGUGAUUUCCUGGGAGAGUUUGCCUUCAUCAAGUCAGACACCUAGAUCAGUGACUCGUGAGGUUUUGGCAAAGGAAGAUAGCUCAGAGGAGGUAAAAUUCUCUCCUCAGAGUUCCCAAAAUGAUUAUGAGGAUAUUUUAAAAGAUGCUACAGAAAGUGACAGUGACCCAGGCGUAUGGGCCACCAGUGGCUUCCUAAGAGACAAGUGGAGCAGUGAGGAUGAAGAACUUGCAGGGCCAUCCCAGACUGUCCCUCCUCAGCUCCACGGUAUACAAAUUGUUUCUGAAAGGGAGCUAGCUCAGCUGGCUCAUGUUCGACCAUUAAUAUUCAGUUUUCAUGAGCAAUUAACCAUCAAGGAUUGUGUUAACGUGCUUGAGAAAAAAGUAGCAGAAUUUGAAAUCCUCCAGGAAUUUAUGACUUUAGAUUUUCAGAACCUACCUGGUGAGUUCAACUCUGGGAAUGACCUACGCAACAGAGACAAAAACAGAUAUCGAGAUGUUCUUCCAUAUGAUUCAACACGUGUUCCUCUUGGAGAAAACAAAGACUACAUCAAUGCUAGUUAUAUUAGAAUAAUGAAUUCUGGAGAAGAGUAUUUUUAUAUUGCUGCUCAAGGACCACUGCCAAGUACCACAGAUGACUUCUGGCAAAUGGUUUUAGAAAAUAACUCUAAUGUUAUUGUCAUGAUAACCAAAGAGAUAGAAGGUGGCGUUGUCAAAUGCCACCAUUACUGGCCCAUUUCUAUGAAGAAGCCUUUGGAAUUGAAAAACUGUCGUAUCUUCAUGGAGAACUACCAGAUACUUCAAUGUUUCAUCAUCCGAAUAUUUCAAGUUGUGAGGAAGUCUACAGGAACUAGUCACUUUAUAAAACACUUGCAGUUCACCAACUGGCCAGACCAUGGCACUCCUGCCCCAGUAGAUGGCUUCAUAAAGUAUGUACGUUAUGUGAGGAAGAGCCACCUUACAGGACCUGUCCUUGUUCACUGCAGUGCUGGCGUGGGCCGGACGGGGGUGUUCCUCUGUGUGGAUGUUGUGUUCUGUGCCAUCGAAAAGAACUUUCCAUUCAACAUCAAGAAUAUAGUGGCCCAAAUGAGAGAACAGCGUUAUGGCAUGAUUCAAACAAAGGAGCAGUAUUGCUUUUGUUAUAAAGUUGUGCUUGAAGUUCUUCAGAAGAUUCUGACUUUCGAUUAAGAAAGACUUCUGUUGCCUCACACUUGAAAUUACCAAUGGCCUGGAGUCUCCUCGUAAAGAACAUGUUCCAGCUGUCCUGAAGGGCUUUGCUUAGGCGUACAAUGUACUUUCUUGGUGUAUCAUUUGACUGUCUUUCUGACAACUCCCGGAAGGCAGCAUCAUUUGGUUUGCGGUGAACAGUGUUUACCCGUUAAUCUUACUUAGAUAUGACGUACAGCAGUAUUCCUGAGAAGGAUUCUAUGCUGUUACUUAAAUGAAAAGACUUACUAUGAAUUGCCUGACGUAUUUUUAUUAUCUAGGCCUUGAAAUGUUCUUGUAAAGAAAAAUGCCACAAUUCUUGAUGGUAAGCAUAUUUCUUCUUUAAUGUGUGCCUCAUAUUUUUAUAGCUGGACUAAUUUUUAGUUUUUCAGGGAAAUUAAAUAAGUAAACAUGGAAAUACUGAUUACAUUUGUUUUAUUUCAUUUUUGGAAAAUGAAUUCCAAAUUGAAAAUGUUUGACUAAUUGAAAUACUAAGUUUCAUACCAACAGUAAAUCAGUCUUUGCCUAGACUAUGAAUACGAAACUCCCAUUGACACCUUUGUGAGUGUAUGAACGCUUAUGGAGAGGAACUUUUAAAACAUUUAAAUAAAAGCAUAUAUGCAUUUAUUAACUUUCAACUUUAAAUACAUAUUUUUAAAGAUGCUUGUCCUCGAUGGACUGACAUGUUGGACCAAAUCUUUUCAGAAAUAAACACUGUAGGUUUUAUUCUCCUAUAAGUCUUGGUAAUUUAUUUUUCCUUGGGCUUUUUGCCCCUAAGCUAUCUAGAACAUUAUUGAAUUUUCAAUUAACUUUGCAUUUACUACUCAGAGGUCAUUUCAGUGAUUUAUUCUUACUGAAAAAUCUUAAAUGAAAACACCUUAACUCUAAAACAAAAAAGUUUCCUUUCCUACUUAUUUUUUCUUAAUACCUGGGAAGAAUUAAUUUUCUUUAUAUGUUGUCUUGAGAUUUAAGUAAUUGAACUCGAAGAUUUGGAAAGUAUCCAUUAAGUAAAAACAGGUUAGUGGUAUUCAGUGGGGAUGAUGAAUUGCUCAAUGGAGUGCUCAAUUUGUCUACAGCUAUAAUCAAAAGGAAGUAAGUAAUGACCUCAUCAUGUAACAAUUUGAAUUAGAAGGGAUCUUAAAACAUGCCUAAUGUAACUAUCAUAUCUGAAACUUGAAUGUGAUAAAGAACAUUUUUUAGAAACUAAUAGCAACAUCAUAUUGGGAGGUGAAAAAAUAGAGCCUUCCCAUUAGGAAAACAGUAACUCCUGUUAGCACUAUAGUAUUUGUCAAGAGUUAUCUAGCCAAUACAGAAAGACUACAAAAAAGAAUAAAUGGUAUAUAAAUACUGGAAAGUUAGAACAAAGCGAUCUUUUGUUUGUAUAUUUGCUCACAUAGAAAUAAUAGACUGAACUAAAAUACAGUAUUAGAAAAAUCAUUAUGAAGUCUGGAUACAAGAUAACUGUGUAAAAAUUUCUUUUUCUACAUCAGGGGUCAUCGGAUGAUGGCUUGCAGGCCAAAUCUGACAUGUUGCCUGUUUUUGUAAAUAAAGUUUUAUGCCCAUUUGUUUA
Molecule: RNA transcript, 3067 nt
Organism: Panthera uncia (snow leopard)
Lineage: Eukaryota; Metazoa; Chordata; Mammalia; Carnivora; Felidae
Gene: PTPN20
Gene name: protein tyrosine phosphatase non-receptor type 20
Exons: 12
Source: RefSeq, a predicted model, not a curated record